AAAUGAAACCCUCUCAGUUUCCACUCGACCUCGACGAUUUUAUUAUUUUUCUUUACUUUAUCGCAUUAGCGCGAAUGCACAAGGCCACGUGUUGCGUAAGUUAAUAAGAAGUGCAGCGUUUGCCGCGUAUGAACUUGAUAUUAAAGAUAAUUUUCUUUCCUCAUUGGCCGAGGUAGUAGUGAAAUACACGCCUUCAGCCACGUGUUCUCAGGUGGUCUCUCGGGUUCCAUUAAUUACUGAAGUAUUGCAAAAAGAAGAGACUGCCUUUCAUAAAACGCUGGAAAAAGGUUUGGUUCAUUUAAAAAAGAUCAUCAAAGAAACGUUGGAGAAAAAGUCACAUGUCCUCUCGAGCGACGCUGUUUUCCUUUUGCUGGACACUCAUGGCCUUCCGGAAGAAGUGGUUGCGGC
Zophobas morio is the source of this 408-nucleotide long non-coding RNA. RefSeq lists it as uncharacterized. The record is from RefSeq and is a predicted model, not a curated record. The transcript has 4 exons. NCBI's taxonomy places the organism in Eukaryota, Metazoa, Arthropoda, Insecta, Coleoptera, Tenebrionidae.